GUGGGGAAUUUUGGACAAUGGGCGCAAGCCUGAUCCAGCAAUGCCGCGUGCAGGAAGAAGGCCUUCGGGUUGUAAACUGCUUUUGUACGGAACGAAACGGCUCUGGUUAAUACCCGGGGCUAAUGACGGUACCGUAAGAAUAAGCACCGGCUAACUACGUGCCAGCAGCCGCGGUAAUACGUAGGGUGCAAGCGUUAAUCGGAAUUACUGGGCGUAAAGCGUGCGCAGGCGGUUUUGUAAGACAGGCGUGAAAUCCCCGGGCUCAACCUGGGAAUGGCGCUUGUGACUGCAAAGCUGGAGUGCGGCAGAGGGGGAUGGAAUUCCGCGUGUAGCAGUGAAAUGCGUAGAUAUGCGGAGGAACACCGAUGGCGAAGGCAAUCCCCUGGGCCUGCACUGACGCUGAGGCGCGAAAGCGUGGGGAGCAAACAGGAUUAGAAACCCGGGUAGUCC
Molecule: ribosomal RNA, 450 nt
Filed under: uncultured bacterium
Lineage: Bacteria
Description: partial 16S ribosomal RNA
Rfam family: Bacterial small subunit ribosomal RNA
Source: RNAcentral